Molecule: ribosomal RNA, 468 nt
Filed under: uncultured bacterium
Lineage: Bacteria
Description: partial 16S ribosomal RNA
Rfam family: Bacterial small subunit ribosomal RNA
Source: RNAcentral
GACGAACGCUGGCGGCGUGCUUAACACAUGCAAGUCGAACGGAAAGGCCCUGCUUUUGUGGGGUGCUCGAGUGGCGAACGGGGGAGUAACACGUGAGUAACCUGCCCUUGACUUUGGGAUAACUUCAGGAAACUGGGGCUAAUACCGGAUAGGAGCUCCUGCUGCAUGGGGGGGGUUGGAAAGUUUCGGCGGUGGGGGAUGGACUCGAGGCUUAUCAGCUUGUUGGUGGGGUAGUGGCUUACCAAGGCUUUGACGGGUAGCCGGCCUGAGAGGGUGACCGGCCACAUUGGGACUGAGAUACGGCCCAGACUCCUACGGGAGGCAGCAGUGGGGAAUAUUGCACAAUGGGCGGAAGCCUGAUGCAGCAACGCCGCGUGCGGGAUGACGGCCUUCGGGUUGUAAACCGCUUUCGCCUGUGACGAAGCGUGAGUGACGGUAAUGGGUAAAGAAGCACCGGCUAACUACGUG